UGCCGAUAAACAGGGAUUGAGGACAGUG
RNAcentral lists this non-coding RNA (28 nucleotides) under Bombyx mori (domestic silkworm). The record is from RNAcentral. Lineage: Eukaryota; Metazoa; Arthropoda; Insecta; Lepidoptera; Bombycidae.